Non-coding RNA from Acanthosepion pharaonis, 111 nucleotides. Lineage: Eukaryota; Metazoa; Mollusca; Cephalopoda; Sepiida; Sepiidae. The record is from the annotation of a GenBank genome assembly.
UGGCUAUGUCACAUAGAAACAUCGGUUCUCAAGCGAUCACUGAAGUUAAGCGACGUCGACCCUUAGUCAGUAUCUAUAUGGGUGACCACCUGGGAAUACCAGGUGCUGUAA